AUUUAUAUAAUAUAAAUUAAAGUAUAUUUAACUUCCAAUUAAAAUGUUUAUCUUAAUAAUAUAAAUA
This 67-nucleotide transfer RNA is filed under the name Cheumatopsyche lepida. RNAcentral describes it as "tRNA-Gly". Lineage: Eukaryota; Metazoa; Arthropoda; Insecta; Trichoptera; Hydropsychidae. The record is from RNAcentral.